RNAcentral lists this ribosomal RNA (339 nucleotides) under Salmonella enterica subsp. enterica. RNAcentral describes it as "bacterial SSU rRNA". It matches the Rfam family "Bacterial small subunit ribosomal RNA", at positions 108 to 450 of the family's 1533-position model. Lineage: Bacteria; Pseudomonadati; Pseudomonadota; Gammaproteobacteria; Enterobacterales; Enterobacteriaceae. The record is from RNAcentral.
GAGUAAUGUCUGGGAAACUGCCUGAUGGAGGGGGAUAACUACUGGAAACGGUGGCUAAUACCGCAUAACGUCGCAAGACCAAAGAGGGGGACCUUCGGGCCUCUUGCCAUCAGAUGUGCCCAGAUGGGAUUAGCUUGUUGGUGAGGUAACGGCUCACCAAGGCGACGAUCCCUAGCUGGUCUGAGAGGAUGACCAGCCACACUGGAACUGAGACACGGUCCAGACUCCUACGGGAGGCAGCAGUGGGGAAUAUUGCACAAUGGGCGCAAGCCUGAUGCAGCCAUGCCGCGUGUAUGAAGAAGGCCUUCGGGUUGUAAAGUACUUUCAGCGGGGAGGAAG